RNAcentral lists this ribosomal RNA (592 nucleotides) under uncultured bacterium. RNAcentral's name for it is "partial 16S rRNA". It matches the Rfam family "Bacterial small subunit ribosomal RNA", at positions 102 to 671 of the family's 1533-position model. The record is from RNAcentral.
ACGGGUGAGUAACGCGUAGACAACCUGCCUCAAAGAUGGGGACAACACCGCGAAAGUGGUGCUAAUACCGAAUGUGGUGCCGGGGAAGCAUUUCCUUGGUAAGAAAGGUGGCCUCUAUAUAUAAGCUACCGCUUUGAGAUGGGUCUGCGUCUGAUUAGCUAGUUGGUGGGGUAACGGCCUACCAAGGCGACGAUCAGUAGCCGGUCUGAGAGGAUGAACGGCCACACUGGGACUGAGACACGGCCCAGACUCCUACGGGAGGUAGCAGUGGGGAAUCUUCCGCAAUGGACGAAAGUCUGACGGAGCAACGCCGCGUGAGUGAAGAAGGUUUUCGGAUUGUAAAGCUCUGUCUUCGGGGACGAACGUGCGAUCGGUGAAUAAUCGGUUGCAGUGACGGUACCCGAGGAGGAAGCCACGGCUAACUACGUGCCAGCAGCCGCGGUAAUACGUAGGUGGCAAGCGUUGUCCGGAAUUAUUGGGCGUAAAGCGCGCGCAGGCGGGACUUUAAGUCUACUUUAAAAGUGCGGAGCUCAACUCCGUGAUGGGGUGGAAACUAAAGUUCUUGAGUGUCGGAGAGGAAAGUGGAAUUCCC